Long non-coding RNA from Cyprinus carpio carpio, 815 nucleotides. NCBI's taxonomy places the organism in Eukaryota, Metazoa, Chordata, Actinopteri, Cypriniformes, Cyprinidae. The record is from Ensembl.
AUGUCUAUUAUACGCCCUACAGUAUAUGCUCUUUAUAACUCCUCCUUUAAAGGUUUAUUUAUUUAUUUAUUUUCAGAUCGCAAUGAAAUGCCACAGCUAAAAGUGAUUCAGAGUAAAGGUUUAGAACAUCCAUCACUGAUUGUUCAGAAAUGUCUGUUUUUGUUUUUCUUAGCAUAUCAAACAAAUUUAACAAUGAAACAAAAGGUGCACACUCUUUGCUUGUGUCAGUUUUUUUUUUCCUCGUUUGUGUGUAGUUUUGAUUAUUGUGCCAAUGCGUUGUUAUUUCCUGCUUUGCAGGUUGAUUAUUUUGUUUGUGCGAUAAGCAGAUACUUCCCCAAAAGGAAUUGUCUGUAUGAGUGAGACAUAAUCGCUCUCUGAGCUUCUCUACAAACACGUGUUCAGUUUGACUGCAAGUCUGGUGGUCUAAUCACUGAUCCAGUAUAAAGGGUCCCGAAUGGCAGCUCAUUGUUCCCUGCACACCCGUUUCCUCUUUUGCCAGGAUAUGAUGUCUUUGCAUAAGUGAUUCUGCCACAUAUAUUGUGUUCGACUUCUGUUUUUUAUUAUCUGUAUUUUGGCACUGUUAUUCUGUUGGUUUCUUCAUAUGACUCUGUCACCAAAUCAUAUUCCUUGUAUGUGUAAACAUACCUGGCAAUAAAGCUCUUUCUGAUUCAGCUCAGGAAAAACAAGUCCAUAUUUACUCGCCAGCAUCUUUAACUUACAAUAAAGUGGAUCUGGGAUUUUUUUUAUGUAAUAUGUAUUUUAAUUUAUAAACUAUGUAAAUAGGUUUAUGAAAUAAAGUUAAGCUAUUAUAAAAU